UAACGAACGAGACUCUGGCAUGCUAAC
RNAcentral lists this non-coding RNA (27 nucleotides) under Gallus gallus (chicken). RNAcentral also lists the same sequence under 6 other names. The record is from RNAcentral. Lineage: Eukaryota; Metazoa; Chordata; Aves; Galliformes; Phasianidae.